CCACCUACCUCUCCCACACUCUAGAAAAGUAGUUUCAAAUGCAGUUCUGUAGUUAAGCUACAGGAUUUCACAUCUGACUUACUUUCCCGCCUACGCACUCUUUACGCCCAGUGAUUCCGAGUAACGCUUGCACCCUCCGUAUUACCGCGGCUGCUGGCACGGAGUUAGCCGGUGCUUAUUCGUUAGAUACCGUCAUAAUCUUCUCUAACAAAAGGAGUUUACAAUCCUAAAACCUUCAUCCUCCACGCGGCGUUGCUGCUUCAGGCUUUCGCCCAUUGAGCAAUAUUCCCUACUGCUGCCUCCCGUAGGAGUCUGGACCGUGUCUCAGUUCCAGUGUGUCCGAUCACCCUCUCAGGCCGGAUACCCGUCAUAGCCUUGGUGAGCCUUUAC
RNAcentral lists this ribosomal RNA (390 nucleotides) under uncultured Helicobacter sp. RNAcentral describes it as "partial 16S ribosomal RNA". The record is from RNAcentral. Lineage: Bacteria; Pseudomonadati; Campylobacterota; Epsilonproteobacteria; Campylobacterales; Helicobacteraceae.